CAGAAAUGCACAUGGAUUAAUUGUGUAUGAAGAUGACCAAGCAGGAACAGGCUCUCUCAGAGGAUCUUGAACUCUCUGAUGAUGGUGUUUACCCAGAAAGUUCCCUACAAGAAAGCUGCUUCAUUCUAGAAGGGACUGUGCAACAGCAGAAUGUUCAUGUCAUUUGGAGAGACAAAUUGUGUUUGGCUUCAAUUGUUCAUAUAUAGUGAAGACUAUUUUCAGGAGAAAAUUAUAGUGACUGUGUUGAAUUGAUAUCUUAAUUGAAAUUAUAUUGUGGCUUGUGCAUUGCUUUAAAUACUUUAUAUAUUCUUAUAUUAUGUCCAGUAAAAGUUGCCAUUGAGUUUGAUUUGUAGAUGCUGUAUCAUAGAUAUAAUAGUUGCUAUUAAUAUGUUCACUGAUAAUAUUAUAGUGCAAUUUAUGAAAUUAAUAAUUGAAAUGUUUUAACUUAUAAUACUUGACAAUGCAAUAUGAUCUUCGUGUGAAUGUUUAUCAUAUUUUUAACAGUAAAAGAUGUUAUUUGAGUUUGUUUUAUUCAAUGUUAUAUUAAAGAACAGCGAGUUGGAAUUGAGAUUGAAAUGGUUUUGUGAAAAUAAAUUGAUGAUUGUUUAAAUGAG
Molecule: long non-coding RNA, 614 nt
Organism: Pecten maximus
Lineage: Eukaryota; Metazoa; Mollusca; Bivalvia; Pectinida; Pectinidae
Exons: 2
Source: RefSeq, a predicted model, not a curated record